Coffea arabica (coffee) is the source of this 4022-nucleotide long non-coding RNA. RefSeq lists it as uncharacterized. The record is from RefSeq and is a predicted model, not a curated record. NCBI's taxonomy places the organism in Eukaryota, Viridiplantae, Streptophyta, Magnoliopsida, Gentianales, Rubiaceae.
GACUGGUGUAUCGGUCCAAGACAAUCGUGAAAGGGCAAAAACAGCCUCGACGGUAGGAGAGUUUCAUAAACACCGGAGCCAGCUAAUUUGUUUCGUCUCUGAGAACGAACUCAAGAAAUGGACUGAGGCAGCAGAGAGAAAUAAAAAAUGGGGGAAUUCUCUGAGGGUUGUUGCCCUCUCUCUGCAUGCCAAUGAUUUCAUUCAAAUCGAAAGAAAAAUUAACAACCCUUCUCAGUUUUUAAGUACUCGUGCGUGUAUUUAUGUGUAUAUAUAUAUAUAUCUCUAUGUGAUCUCUGGGGCGGUGGAUCUCUGGUUAUUGCUAAUAUGGAAUACUGGCUUCUACCUCACAUUUCCAACACCACCUUUACCAAUCCAAUCUCCUUUUUUAUCUCAGACUUAGCUCCUUUCCACUGUUAUAGGCUGUGACGAUCGAAUUCGAUUGCUCUUGGGUUCAUCUGGGCAUUGAGGUUAUUCGACCCGCAUCUUGGCGGGGCAACCCGGAUGGCCUGUGGAUUGACUUUGGGCAACUGUGGUUUUGCAGCCAUGGCGGUGUCUCUCCUUCUUUGCCUGAUUACAUCACGGAUCUGAGCCUUACUUAUAUCCACAUUUUAAAAAUAAAUAUCCACACGGGGCGGACACGAAGCUCAAUGCUUUCAGGUCAGCCCGCACCAUUUCUUUGAUUGGCUAUGGCUUUUCUCCCACUGAGGACUGAGACAAUAAGCAAUUGGCAGGUUUUACGUCCUUCAUGUCUAGUUUAAAGGUUUUUUGAAAAAAAAAAUGAAGAAAGAAAAAGAGGGAAGAGGAAGGGCAAAUUGAUAAUCUUAAUUAAAUAAUGUGACUUUUAUUUUAUGUCUUGGGCACUAAGUUUGGUCUUUUAAUUUUAAGAAAAUGAAAAAAAUUAUAAUAAUUUUACUCUCCCCCAUCCCUCCUCUCUCGGUUUUCACACUCACUUAUAUUUCCCUCUCUCUCGGCUUUCUCUCUCCAUCACCAGCAUGCACUCAUUGCACUCAUUGCACACAUUAACAUAUACUCACACACGCAGUUCUCACGCGUACACACAGAUUACACACACACACACACACACACACCAGAAAACACAUGCACACACUAACACAAACAAAUCUGCACACACACCUCACUUUUUCCCUUUGCACUCUCUCACAAAUCACACACUGAAAAAGGAACAAAAGAAGAAGAAAGUGGGACAAAGGACAGCUUGGACUCAUGGAUUUCUUCACCAAAUUCUCCUUGUUCGAGUUGAAAGGCUACCAAUUUAAUGAAGGUUUUAGGCUUCUGAAAAUGCUUGAGGAUUUAAUGAUAAAAUCCUAUUCUGGUGCUUGUAAUGGGGCCUGGAGUUCAAUCUGACCCAUAUCUUGGCUGGCAAACCGGAUUGCAACUGAGCUGAGAUGGGUUGGUUCUAUUUGUCUAAAUUCACAUAUGCAACUGGAAUUUUGUAGCCAUGGUGGUACUGACUCUACAUUUUGCCUCUUCUUAUUACAAGAUCUGAGCCUGGUUAAACCGUGCAUACGAUGGUUUAUUACCUUGUCUAAACUCUUUAGUAUAUAGUUUGUCUAUUGGAUUUGUAGUUAUACUGGAUAUGCUUGAUUUACUUUCAAGGUCGCAUUUUCUUUCAGUAAUCUUGACCUAAAGUGGGAAAGAGACCCUGCUUUUGAAUGAAUAAUUCUGAACUUGCUCAUGAACAUCCAGACAUUGAUUCUGGUGGUCAUACAUACUUGUUUAGCAGAUCUUCUGCUGAAAGCCUUCAAAAGACCCUUCCAGUUGAUUACCUACCUCGAGGAGUUAGUCUUUUUCUGGUGUGCCAGUAUCAACCAACAUGGUUUUACCAGCUUAGCAAAAGGGUGCCCGUAAGUAAAAAGAAGAAAGAGCUUCUCUUGAGGCCUUAAGAGUUUUCUACAUUUUUCUCAAUCUUUCUCUUUCUGUUAUCGUCCUUAGACCAGUGAAAGUUGAGUUAUAUUGAUGAGCAUGUACCACACAUGUAAUUGUGUGGUUGAAUUCUUUCUUUGCUAUACUCUUGGCUGGAAGCAUCUUCUAUUUCUACUUGAGGUCAUUGAAAAUUUGGAAUGGUGAUUGUUCUGUCUUGUUAAAUGUUUGAUGAAUUAUGGUUCUUUGCUGAUAAUCAUGGCAAUGGUCGACUAACAAGGAAAAUAAAGAAGAAAAAUUAAUCUUGGUAGUGUCAAUUUUCCCAAGGGUUGAGCUAUGUAUCUUAAGCAACCAACUUUGCGUUAAGCAAUGCAUAUUUCAUCUCAUUUAGUACUUCAAAUUGUAGAUGAGGGCCUAAAGGUCCUCAUAACUCUAUUAUUAAUCACAAACUAUUUUUGAUGCAUGUAGGAAUUCCGAGUAAUAGUUGGCUUUUAUAGGAAACAUGCCUUAGCUAGGAUCGAUAAAUCUUAAGAUAUUUUGUGCCUAUCAAUGGAAAACAAUCCUUCUGAAAAAAGAGAAAAUGAAAAAAGAAAUUGCACAUUUUGGAACUUAUUACACUCAUGAGCCGGGAUGAUUUCUAAAGUAAAACCUCCUUUGUGAUUUUAUUGUUAUGGAAGUCUUGUAAACCCCCUCUAAAUGGGGUUUAAUUAGAAAGAGAUUUAGCCUUAUAUUUGUUUAAGUUGAAGUUUAGAUACAUUAUUGGAGGAGUUUUGCUUUUUCCAUGCUAGUUAAGAAUCAGAUGGACCUUUACGUGAAUGAGAAUUUUAACCAAGUCCACUGUUGUGAUGAUUGAUUUUAUUUAAAUUUAGGCUUUAAAUCACAUUAUUGUGGGAACGUCUGGGUUUUCCAUUCUAGUUAAUAAUCAGAUGGAUCUUUACAUUGGGAGAAUUUAAACCACCAGUUCACUGUUUUGGCAAUUUAGGGGACAAAAGCUUGCUAAAAGUUUGUUUUGAGCUCCAUUGAUUUUCAAAUUCCACAUUUAUGCAGGGUUAACGGAAUUGAAUUUGCUUUCAGUCAUGCAUUAUCUGACAAUUAAUUUCAUUUUGGUAGAGAAGUAAUAUGGACUGUGUUUUGCUAAAUGUUUGGUACGUGGAAAAUGUGUGUAGCUGUGAAUUAUACCUUGGUCCUUCAGUUGAGUUUAUUGGAUUAAAAGUUGCAGUUAGUGACAGUUAGCUGUCAGACAUCAUUGGAUCUGCACGAGCAAUCGUUUUGCACUUGUAGGAUUUUAAAAUAGUUUUAUAGUUGGAGAAUGUUGAGCGAAAUUAUGUGUUUUACAUGUCCUGCCUGCUGCUCUAAUGUUGGUUUGAAUGGAUACACUUGAUUUGAAUAUCAUGGGUGAGUUUUAUUACUCUUUCAAGCUGCUUUUGGGAUGCGUUUGAAACAGAUUCCUUACAGGAUCUUAUAGCAUCUACCAGGUAUAAGAAGCGAGGGCAAUACAAUUCAGCUUCGGUUAAAUCCAGGAUUUGCAGCAUUUACAUUUUCAUGAUGGAUCAUCAACGUAUACGUCAUUCAUAGCAUGUUCACUGUGGUACAAAAGGAUAUGAUUGUAGUAGCCAGAGGGUAAUGAGUAGAUUUCUGAUUACUUUUGUGGCGUAUUUUCUUGCUGAAGCAGCCCUUCCAAUGUGAGAGCCUCUUUUGUUGCUGCCGUAUGUAUGUUUGUUCAGGUUUUGUUUUUAAGAUGCAGAAGAGUGUAUCGACUACUGCUCAUAGGGGGAAUAGAGACGUGACAAUGUUGUGCAUUGCUGAGGCAAAAGAUGAAGGAAGUCAGUUUUUGUAAGCUGAGGACUGACUGACUCCAUCCCUCUGAAGGAUGUACCAUUUAUCUCAUUUCAAACCAGGCUUCAACACGAAGUGCAUUUUGUAAAUCCCAAGUUUAUUUGUUCGUUUUCCAUAUAUCAUGGUUCAUGGAGAUUAACCAAUCAGGAGUUUGUAUACUGGUAAAAAGGCUAGGUUUGUGGGGCAAUCAGUGUCUGGUUUUCACUCUUCAGUCUACUUAACAUUUGGUUGCUAUUGCAUUGAAUAUGGCUCUGAAGCUACCAUUGCAAUGGACAGUGGUAAAAUGUGAAGUUACUAUUGCAUCA